GACGAACGCUGUCGGCGUGCUUAACACAUGCAAGUCGAACGGAAAGGCCCUGCUUUUGUGGGGUGCUCGAGUGGCGAACGGGUGAGUAACACGUGAGUAACCUGCCCUUGACUUUGGGAUAACUUCAGGAAACUGGGGCUAAUACCGGAUAGGAGCUCCUGCUGCAUGGUGGGGGUUGGAAAGUUUCGGCGGUUGGGGAUGGACUCGCGGCUUAUCAGCUUGUUGGUGGGGUAGUGGCUUACCAAGGCUUUGACGGGUAGCCGGCCUGAGAGGGUGACCGGCCACAUUGGGACUGAGAUACGGCCCAGACUCCUACGGGAGGCCGCAGUGGGGAAUAUUGCACAAUGGGCGGAAGCCUGAUGCAGCAACGCCGCGUGCGGGAUGACGGCCUUCGGGUUGUAAACCGCUUUCGCCUGUGACGAAGCGUGAGUGACGGUAAUGGGUAAAGAAGCACCGGCUAACUACGUGCCAGCAGCCGCGGUGAUACGUAGGGUGCGAGCGUUGUCCGGAUUUAUUGGGCGUAAAGGGCUCGUAGGUGGUUGAUCGCGUCGGAAGUGUAAUCUUGGGGCUUAACCCUGAGCGUGCUUUCGAUACGGGUUGACUUGAGGAAGGUAGGGGAGAAUGGAAUUCCUGGUGGAGCGGUGGAAUGCGCAGAUAUCAGGAGGAACACCAGUGGCGAAGGCGGUUCUCUGGGCCUUUCCUGACGCUGAGGAGCGAAAGCGUGGGGAGCGAACAGGCUUAGAUACCCUGGUAGUCCACGCUGUAAACGGUGGGUACUAGGUGUGGGGUCCAUUCCACGGGUUCCGUGCCGUAGCUAACGCUUUAAGUACCCCGCCUGGGGAGUACGGCCGCAAGGCUAAAACUCAAAGGAAUUGACGGGGCCCCGCACAAGCGGCGGAGCAUGCGGAUUAAUUCGAUGCAACGCGUAGAACCUUACCUGGGUUUGACAUGGAUCGGGAGUGCUCAGAGAUGGGUGUGCCUCUUUUGGGGUCGGUUCACAGGUGGUGCAUGGCUGUCGUCAGCUCGUGUCGUGAGAUGUUGGGUUAAGUCCCGCAACGAGCGCAACCCUUGUUCACUGUUGCCAGCACGUUAUGGUGGGGACUCAGUGGAGACCGCCGGGGUCAACUCGGAGGAAGGUGGGGAUGACGUCAAGUCAUCAUGCCCCUUACGUCCAGGGCUUCACGCAUGCUACAAUGGCUGGUACAGAGAGUGGCGAGCCUGUGAGGGUGAGCGAAUCUCGGAAAGCCGGUCUCAGUUCGGAUUGGGGUCUGCAACUCGACCUCAUGAAGUCGGAGUCGCUAGUAAUCGCAGAUCAGCAACGCUGCGGUGAAUACGUUCCCGGG
This 1343-nucleotide ribosomal RNA is filed under the name uncultured bacterium. RNAcentral's name for it is "16S ribosomal RNA". It matches the Rfam family "Bacterial small subunit ribosomal RNA", at positions 28 to 1378 of the family's 1533-position model. The record is from RNAcentral.